RNAcentral lists this ribosomal RNA (292 nucleotides) under uncultured bacterium. RNAcentral describes it as "partial 16S ribosomal RNA". It matches the Rfam family "Bacterial small subunit ribosomal RNA", at positions 505 to 796 of the family's 1533-position model. The record is from RNAcentral.
GUGCCAGCAGCCGCGGUAAUACGUAGGGUGCGAGCGUUAAUCGGAAUUACUGGGCGUAAAGCGUGCGCAGGCGGUUUUGUAAGCCAGAUGUGAAAUCCCCGGGCUUAACCUGGGAAUGGCAUUUGGGACUGCAAGGCUAGAAUCUGGCAGAGGGGGGUAGAAUUCCUGGUGUAGCAGUGAAAUGCGUAGAUAUCAGGAGGAAUACCGAUGGCGAAGGCAGCCCCCUGGGCUAAGAUUGACGCUCAUGCACGAAAGCGUGGGGAGCAAACAGGAUUAGAUACCCUGGUAGUCC